This 947-nucleotide long non-coding RNA is filed under the name Marmota monax (woodchuck). The record is from RNAcentral. Lineage: Eukaryota; Metazoa; Chordata; Mammalia; Rodentia; Sciuridae.
GUUUCCUGCAUUUACUAAAAUGUCAAGACCACGGCGGUGCCAGGGUGGAGUCCAGGCAGGUCCAGGGGCCCUGGCUGUGGAGGAAGGAGAAGUGCUCUGUGGGCGUCACCCUGGCUGCAGGUCCCUGGGAACACUUCCAGACACACUCAGCACUCGCCGGGUGAAGGGCCGGUGGGUGCCAAACCCUAAAACUUCUGAGGGAGGGAGGCAGAGGGUAGGGAGAGGCGGCAGCAGGAGGGCCACCCAGGGUCAUAGCCUGGCCUGGCUCUGCUGUAAGAAGUGCUGAGCAAUGGCCCCACCUGGGGACUAGGGGGAGCUAGAGUCAAACCAGGUGGAUUGGCAAGACUGGUGCGUAGAGGGCCGUCUCAUAAUGUUGGGGUUUGGACUUUUAAAAAGACAAUACAUUAUUGAUGAAUAGAUCUGAUGGGACCUGAUAAAGCAAAACAGGGAGUUUAUUAUGACAAGAUCAAUAGUGUGUGGUUCUAUGUGAAUGAUGACUGCGUUGGGGAGGGCCCGUGGGCCUGCGGGCUGCAGAUGGCUCUGCUGCGUCAUGGGAUGUGCAGCACUUGGGUCCUUGGCUGCAGGUGCAGGAGAACAAGGAAGUGACUUGCAGGUCUAAGACGGCUGCGAGCUAAGCACAUCUGGAGCCUGUCGGGUUGGCAAGGUCUGGAAGAGAGCCUGUUAGCACGCGGACCACGAUGUUCUGACGGUCUGCGCAGCAAAUGGCACAGAAAGCAAGGAGAGUGCCGACUUCCCCAGAGCUCACAGCACUGGCUUAUGGGCUCUAAGUUCCGAUCCGAGUUGGUCCUCUCUGAGCGUAGGGAAUGGAUAGCUUACUGAGGUUCAGGGAGGCUAAGUAACUUGUCCAGUUCACACAGCUGGCAAGAGGCAGAGAUGGGAGUGCUUUCUCACAUUGCUGGCCUGAGGGCCCCGCAUGACCCUUGCUG